This 467-nucleotide long non-coding RNA is filed under the name Physcomitrium patens. RNAcentral describes it as "long non-coding RNA (PPAT_LNC002647)". The record is from RNAcentral. Lineage: Eukaryota; Viridiplantae; Streptophyta; Bryopsida; Funariales; Funariaceae.
AAGAUUUGAUUUAGGGUUUAGAUUUUAGUUAGGAUUUGAUUUAGGAUUUAGGAUUUAGUUUAGGAUUUGGUUAGGAUUUGAUUUAGAAUUAGGAUUUGAUUAUGGUUUGAUUUAGGAUUAUGAUUUGAUUAGGAUUUGAUUUAGGGUUUGGAGUUUGGUUAGGAUUUGGAGUUUAGUUAGGAUUUGGUUUAAGAUUUAGGAUUUGAUUUAGGGUUUGUUUGGAGUUUGGUUUAGGAUUUAGGAUUUAUUUAGGAUUUGGUUUAGAAUUUAAGAUUUGAUUAGGAUUUGAUUAGGAUUUUGUUAGGAUUUGAUUUAGGAAUUAGGAUUUUAUAAGGGUUUAUUUAGGAUUUAAGAUUUAAUUAAUUUUGGCCUAAAAAUUGAAUAAAAUCUAAUAGGAUUUUAACUAGGAUUAAAUUAAGAUUGAAUUGAGAUGUAUUUGACAGAUAUUUGAGAUCAUUCUAAUAUUU